CCUACGGGUGGCAGCAGUGAGGAAUAUUGGUCAAUGGGCGUUAGCCUGAACCAGCCAAGUAGCGUGAAGGAUGACUGCCCUAUGGGUUGUAAACUUCUUUUAUAUGGGAAUAAAGUGCAGUAUGUAUACUGCUUUGCAUGUACCUUAUGAAUAAGGAUCGGCUAACUCCGUGCCAGCAGCCGCGGUAAUACGGAGGAUCCGAGCGUUAUCCGGAUUUAUUGGGUUUAAAGGGUGCGUAGGCGGGUUGUUAAGUCAGUGGUGAAAGUUUGUGGCUCAACCGUAAAAUUGCAGUUGAUACUGGCAGCCUUGAGUACAGUAGAGGUAGGCGGAAUGCGUGGUGUAGCGGUGAAAUGCUUAGAUAUCACGAAGAACUCCGAUUGCGAAGGCAGCCUGCCGGACUGUAACUGACGCUGAUGCUCGAAAGUGUGGGGAUCAAACAGGAUUAGAUACCCGUGUAGUC
Molecule: ribosomal RNA, 460 nt
Filed under: uncultured bacterium
Lineage: Bacteria
Description: partial 16S ribosomal RNA
Rfam family: Bacterial small subunit ribosomal RNA
Source: RNAcentral